Molecule: ribosomal RNA, 429 nt
Filed under: Chloroflexota bacterium
Lineage: Bacteria; Bacillati; Chloroflexota
Description: Chloroflexi bacterium partial 16S ribosomal RNA
Rfam family: Bacterial small subunit ribosomal RNA
Source: RNAcentral
UGGGGAAUAUUGCACAAUGGGCGCAAGCCUGAUGCAGCCAUGCCGCGUGUAUGAAGAAGGCCUUCGGGUUGUAAAGUACUUUCAGUCGGGAGGAAGGUGUCAAGGUUAAUAACCUUGGCAAUUGACGUUACCGACAGAAGAAGCACCGGCUAACUCCGUGCCAGCAGCCGCGGUAAUACGGAGGGUGCAAGCGUUAAUCGGAAUUACUGGGCGUAAAGCGCACGCAGGCGGUUGAUUGAGUCAGAUGUGAAAUCCCCGGGCUUAACCCGGGAAUUGCAUCUGAUACUGGUCAGCUAGAGUAUUGUAGAGGGGGGUAGAAUUCCAUGUGUAGCGGUGAAAUGCGUAGAGAUGUGGAGGAAUACCGGUGGCGAAGGCGGCCCCCUGGACAAAGACUGACGCUCAGGUGCGAAAGCGUGGGGAGCAAACAGG